RNAcentral lists this ribosomal RNA (280 nucleotides) under uncultured bacterium. RNAcentral describes it as "partial 16S ribosomal RNA". It matches the Rfam family "Bacterial small subunit ribosomal RNA", at positions 30 to 304 of the family's 1533-position model. The record is from RNAcentral.
AUUGAACGCUGGCGGCAGGCCUAACACAUGCAAGUCGGGCGGUAACAGGGAGAAGCUUGCUUCUCUGCUGACGAGCGGCGGACGGGUGAGUAAUGUAUGGGGAUCUGCCUGAUGGCGGGGGAUAACUACUGGAAACGGUAGCUAAUACCGCAUAAUGUCCACGGACCAAAGCGGGGGACCUCCGGGCCUCGCGCCAUCAGAUGAACCCAUAUGGGAUUAGCUAGUAGGUAAGGUAACGGCUUACCUAGGCGACGAUCCCUAGCUGGUCUGAGAGGAUGAU